AUCUUCAGCCAUCAUCAGUUCACAUGGGCAUCAACAACAACAACAGACUUCCAAACCUUCUCUGCAACAUCUCUGACUUCAUUAAUGGCUACCCACUUCUUUUUCUCUUUUAUACCAACUUUUUUAUUCUCUUUUAGAACCUCCCAUCACUUCAUUUUCUCUCAAUUUUUCUCUAAUUAUUGAUUUUUUUUUUUUUUUUUUUUUUUUGUAGAUUUUUAUUGAUGCCCAUUUGUUUUUUUUUUCAUCAAUUUGCUUACCCUUUGUUGAGUUUUUGUAGCUGGAACUAGCCAUCCAUUAUGGGAUUGAGUUUUAGUAGAAUAAGGACGAAUUUUAUAGAGAUAGACAAGUUCAUGUUGCUUCAUUAGAUUUUUUUUUUUUUUUUUUUAGUUUUGUGGGAUUCUUGUAACCCAUUUGUGUGUGGAUUUUGAUUUGGGGGUUCAUGAAUUUAGCUUUGUAGGCAAUUAGUAGAAUUGGGUAUUGACCAAUUUGUUGAUUUUUCGAGUUUUGAUUAGGGUUUCUGUGAAGUUUUAGGUAGUUUUAGAGGUCUGGGAAUAUGUCGGCGGCAAAUGUUGGUGGGUUUUUGGAAUGGAAAGAGGUUUUUAUUUCACAAGUGAAGGGUAGCAGAGUAGUUCACUAUUACUUCACUGAUACUAAUGGGAAUUCUAUUCUUGCUGUUGUGGGCACUGAGAGAAGUCUUAGACACAUGGUUUAUGUUGUUGCAGACGAGUUUUAUCAGCUUUAUGGAACUGAAAGGAAUAUCACUGCUGGUUUUAAAUGGAGGUCGAAAAGAGAGGUGGUUGAAUGGCUCACUUCUUCGGUCAUGAAACAGCGUCCUCCACAAGAUCCAUCCAGUAUGUAUUCUAUCUUGUGGUAUUUGUUUUAAUUAUGUUUGAAUCAGUAAAUUUAGCUGAGGUUGUGUAACUGUUAUGUUCAUAUUUGCUAAUUGGUCUUAUCUAUUGUAUUUUAAUUGAUUACGCUGAACAUAAUGCAUACACUAUAGAUUUAAAUGCAUUAACGUAUUGAAAUAAGUCUCAUGUCUUAGUGUGGGAUUCUGUUGUGACUUCUGGAUGAGCAUGCUUAUGUCUAUUUCUGUCAUGCAUAGUGCUGAUAUUGCUGCACUACAGCUUGGAUGGAUGUACAAUGGAUGUCUUUUACAUUAGAAUUGAUAAUUUUAGGAAGGAAAUGAGAUUUAUCUUGAUUUAUGGAUCAUUGUUGGGAUGCUCGGACAACCCUAAGGGCCUCAGAAAAAAGUGACAUGAUCCAUUAUACCAAUUCUGGGUAUUCUACUUUUUGACUUGUUAGGAAAUGAAAGGAAGAUAGUUGAUUCUAAGGUUACUUAAAAGGAACCCAAUUUGGUGUAAAGGGAGCUUAAAGCAUUUAUCUGCAGAUGGUAUCAUUGUCAUCAGCAUCCUUUUAUAUUUAGGUGCAAUAUGACCAAGAUAGGGUGUUUAACGUUCUUUUUGGCUGUUGUGAGGUAGUCAGAUAUCUGAGGAGUGAGGCGACUGUAGUUCUUUGGCAUCGAUGGUCCAUAUAAUCCAGUUCUUUUGGCAAAUUAUAUUCCAUUUGGUGUGGUGCAAGAUGUCGAGCAAAUAGCACGUGAAAUCAACUUUUACUCCAGAUUCAAAAGUUUACUAUAUUUUUAAACUACAUGCCUUCUGCAGUGAAAUUUAAGGCUCUAUCUUGUUUCAGUGUGCAUGUUGGGUGGGGAGGAGAAGGUACAAAAUACCAGGACCUGUUGCUGCAAUGGAGAGAUAUUAUUAUGGGGAGCUAAGAAACUAUUAAGUUAUUUUUUUUGUUUCUUUUUUGGUUGUAAUGGCAGAAAAACAGGGUAGUUGAAAUCCCUUUUCACUACCUUGAUAAACAUUAUUUUCAGACAUGCAGUUCUUUAAAAUCGUGCUUUCCUUCAAAAGAAAUUAUUUUGUGUACACUGUACAGAUAAAUUCUUAAAAGGCACACAAAAACGGAUUCAUAUAAGUUGUUGAAAUGAUGGUUUUCAAUGAAUUCACUGUAAUGGUUCCUAACUACAUAACCUCUCCAUGCUUUUGAGUUGUCAAAAAAUGAUUUUUAGGAGACUCGUGAAAAACAACAUGAUCUUUAUCCAACAUUUUGUCAAAUGUUAAAAUGAAAAAUUUCAAACAACAAAAUGUAGUUUCUCCCAUAGUUUAAAAUUCCGAAUCCGGGCGAAAUUUCGGAUUCAGAAAAACGGUAUAUUCCGACAUUCCGACCCUUGAAACAAAUGUGUCACCUGAAAUGUCGGGAAUAUUCUCGGAUAUUCCCGGAAUUUACAAUGCCGAUUCUCUAAAAACCGGCAUAUUCCGCCGAAAUUUCACGAAAUAUGUCGGCAUUUUGAACUAUGGUUUCUCCUCAACACGGAAAUGAUUACUGAACUUUCAACAACCAGAUUAGAGACAUUCUCAAUCUCCAGUUCUGAUUCCCAUCUCUUGGAGCCAUGAGUCUUGGUAGCAAACAAAGGUGCUCUUGCUUGAAACUAGCAAUAGAGUUUUUGUUGUCUUUGCCUUCAAAGUUAGUUACAGGAUGUGGAUUUGUUGAAUGGCGGCGCAGUAGCUGUUGCUACAUAGUGGAUAGCAUCAGUAAAUUCAUGUACGUACCAUCAUCCCAUCUCACAUUUCACUCCCCCUAAUUUUUUAGAGGGGCAUAAAUUUUACUCCCACAACCUUUUCCUUGUGGCACGAAACAACGACAUGUCCUGUGAUGCAAAUCUGUCUCUGGGAAUAAAUCAAGGAUAUCACUCCUUAUCAACACACAAUAAACACGAAGGGUAUCCUAUACCGCCAAGGGCGAAUAUCAGCUUUUAUUCCAUCAAAAAUAAAGAAUUGAUUUUUGCUAGAUAAUUGAAGGCAAAUAUAGGUUGACACACUGGACUCGUAAUCAAGCUUAAGUUUCUAAAUAAGACAAACUUCCUAACUUAACCUGACCUGACUAAAAUUCCAAACGAAACACUAUUUACAUUAAAUAUGUAACAGCCAGGAUUACAAAGUUGACACAAGUCGUGGACUUACUGGAACGGAAACAUAGACACUUCCAGGCGAGGAUCUCCAAGAUCCCGCAUAUACAUUUUGGCAUUAAAGGAUUGGUGUUCCUUUGGAGCAACCCUCAGCCAUAAUACAAGGACAUCUCUUUCAAAUCCUUUCUAUCCUGUUAGGAGACAAUUACAUUUGGGUCUUUAGUGGGUUUUAUAGUUUUUUAGUUGUUAGUCUUUUUUGGGAUAUGUAGUUUUUUGUUUGUCUUUUUUGGGAUAUCUCAUCUCCUUUUAGCAACCUUAUGUACCCUUUUUCAUAUAUCUCUAUGAUAUGAAAUGAAUUGGUUACAAAGCAUGUAAAUUAAGAAAGAAGAAGGAAGAAGAAACAAGUACAGAGACGGUGCUCUCACAGUCACAGCUACCCUGAUUUCUUUUGCGCUUUAACAUAAUAUUUAAUUUAAGAGUUUGUUUGGGUAUUAUUGGUCUUUGUAUUUGACACCAUAGUUUAAAAUGCUGAUUUCAAAUGAAAUUUUGAAUUCUUAAAAAAAAAAAAACGGAUUUUGCCAAGAUUUUGACACUAGAAACCAAUGUAAAGGCCGAGUAUUCGUGGAUAUUCGUGUAUCUGAUUCCUCAAAAAUCUGCAUAACUCGUGGGAUAUCCUCCCCGAUAUUUUGAACUAUGUUUGACACCAUAAAACAAUACUUUUUCUGUCAUAUGGCAUAGUACGACACCACGUGUCGUAAUCAAAGAACAGAACCACAUGCUGAACAUCUGGUACUCGCCUCCUCGGUGAAUAAAUCAUCUAAUCUCAUAUGGAAAGACCUCACCGACAUCUCUUUAGUGAAAACCAGGUUCAAAGCGAUAACUCUCUACGAAUUUAGAAGUCUGUUUGGUAUGGCUGGAAUUGACAGGAUUUGUUGUACAGACGAUAGAUCACUGGCGUCUGGUGUAUUUUUUCCAAAUGCAUUUGCUCGCACCAACUCUUAUCCUUCUUUUAGUUUAUUUACUUUGUACAAAAUUUGUUUAGAGAGGAAUUCCAUUAGUAGAAAUUGAUUACUGCUGUUUUAAUAAUUGAUACUUAAUGAUUUUUGUUCAAUUGGAUGAUUUCUAAACCAAUGCUUACAUUUCUGCUAACAGUUUCAUCAAAACCAGACCCAAGACAAGCUUUAGGAUCUCCUGACUACUUACCCGGUUCCGAUGCUCCAAGGGACCAUCCAUCUUACCAAACAGUAUGUGAUCUGAUUAAUUUUUCAUUACCAUCUGUACAAUUUCUUGAACUACGCCUGUCCUAGUUUCUUUAAUGUCUGAUUUUGUGGAUUGCUCUAAAUUUAUUGCAGAGCCAGAAUGCGAGCAAUUUAAGAGGUCAUAGUUCAGACAUUUUAUGGUCUGGUGAUUCGUGGACCUGCAGUAAACAGCUAACACAUUACCCAGCAUUUUGCAGGAAUGGGAUCACUAUUGGUGUGAGUUAUCUGCAUUUCACUCAACUUCUGUUUCAGAAUAAGCUUAUUGUUCAUAAAGCCCAUUUUUCUCCUUUGUCCAGGUGCAUUCCUUUGUUUUUGUUAUGGCUAAAGAAGACAGGCAUUAUCUCGCGUACUUGGAAGAUAUGUAUGAAGAUAGGAAAGGACAAAAGAAGGUUAGAGCACGAUGGUUUCAUGACAAUCGGGAAGUUGCACGUGUAGUAACCCUGCCAAAGACCCAUCCAAGAGAAGUCUUUAUUACACCUCAUGCUCAGGUCAUUAGUGCAGAAUGUGUUGAUGGUCCUGCUUCAGUUUUAACUGUUGAACAUUAUGAGAAAUGUUUGCUCUCCCUCCCUCAUGUUUCUUUAGCAACAAUGCAUGUGUGCCAUAGGCAAUUCAGGAUGAACAAAAUUAAGCCCUUUGAUGUAACAAAGUUGCGGGGAUAUUAUUUUCAAAACGUCGUCUUGUCUUUAGAAGAAGUAGAAGACUUAGGUCAAGGAGGCACUCUAAAACAAGGAGUUAAGAGGUCUAGAAGUUGCCGAGGGCGUGACAGUUUUGUUACAAGUAAAUCUGGUGUCAACGUGCCAGCCCAGAGGAGCCUGAUAACAGCUUCUGGACCUACAUAUCAGAACCCAAAAUUUGGAGCUUUAGAUAGCAGACCACCUACUUUGAAGUAUGUUGAGCCCAAUCACUCACCUUUCAAGGUUGACGCUGAGAUAGAGGUUCUAUCUCAAGAUAGUGAAAUCCGAGGUUGCUGGUUCAAGUGUACGAUCUUGCAUCUAUCACGAAAGAAAAUGAAGGUUCAAUAUGAUGAUUUGCAGGAUGUAGAUGGAUGUGGCAAUGUUGAGGUAUGUGUGUCUCUCAUGACGCUUACUAUGUCUUUUCAUGUUUGUUGUAUAGGUUUGAAUACAGGGAUGUGUGUUGUUGUAGUUUAUUAUUGGUUGUUUAAAACUUUAAAUACAUUAUGAAAAUAAUACAGUAGUUAUCCUAACCCCAAGAAUGAAAACAUAUGUAACUAAAUAAAGUUCCCAUCAUUAUGUUUGUUGACAGGAAACUACACCAUGGUAAAGUGAAAUUCACCUUUUUUAUCCCUUUAUCUUGUCUAGGAAUGGAUCCCUAUCAGAAUGGCAAAUCCAGAUAAAUUAGGAAUGAGAUGCUCAGGCCGCCUAACAACCCGUCCACGCCCUCCCUCUCAAGAUAAUGCAAGUAAUAUUUUUGAGAUCGGAUCCCCGGUGGAUGCAAAAUGGCAUAGUGGCUGGUGGGAAGGGGUGGUAACUGGAAUUGAUGACUGCGGAAAUGAUAACCUGCAAGUUUACUUCCCAGGUAUGUGCUUUGCAAAAUUUGGUGUGGUUUUUCUUUUUCUAAUUUUACAUUACAACUAAAUAAAAUAGCUAAUGCGUUCAGAAUGUUAAGUUGGUGGGCAUUUAGUCUUUUUUGUGAAUUAGAGGUCAUUACUUGUUGCAGGACCAUUAAUAUUAAUGUGUUAUUCCUAUAUUUUCAGGUGAGGAUACCUUCUCAUGUUUUCAAAGAAAGAAUUUAAGAAUUUCCAGGGAUUGGGUAAACAAUCAGUGGCUUGAUAUUGGGGCAAGGCCAGACAUAUUGUCUGUCAUAUCUGCAGAUGUUAGUCCAGGAAUGAAACUAUCUGCAUGCUCCACCGCUGCCAAGGGGGCUGAAUUUGGAAGCUCUGGUAUGUCAGAAUGUGAAGUUCCCACAGCUUUAGUUCUUGAUACCGUUGAGGAAGAUAAGCAGGAACUAAGUAAUUUAAAUAGAUGUGAUGAUCAUGCGGAAAAUAUGGAGUGGGUGAGGUCAAAUAAGCAACCGAAGAUUGAAGAUGAAGGUAAGGGAGGUGACAAUGAAAAUGAAACCAAAAAAGCUGUAGACAAAGGUAAAGGAAGUGUCGACGACCAUGAAGAUCAAACAGACAAAGCUGAAGAUAAAGAUUUGAAUGGUGUUACUGCUGAUGAUGACGAAAAGGACAAAAUGGAAGAGGAUACUGAGACUGUUGGGCUUAAAUGUGAACCGGAAGCUGCAGGACUUGUGGAGGUGGCUGUGAUGCAUGUGAGAGGAAGUAUAAUAGUCACGCUGCCAGAUGAAGAAAAGAUUUUGAGGUUGCAUCCCAUUUUAGCUACCAGAUUGUUGUGUAUAUGAUAGAGAAUUGACAAUCCCUCUUGAGUCAAGAGGGAAGAAUUCAGUUUUAAGAUCGACUUGGUGGCUUGGCAGCUGUACAGAUUAUAGAGAUGGGUGAUGUGUAGUUAGUUACAGAUCAGAUUAGAAAAAGUAAUCAAGAUGGAGAUCAGGUCCAAAGUAUGGCUCACCGUGGUUUGUCGCUUGGCCGUUUCCCCCAGAGUCUAGACUAGAGGUAGUACUUAAUGUGUAUUACAUAAAAAUUUCCAUAUCAUGUUUCAAAUGAACCUUUUUUUUCUUUAAAAGUGAAUGCUGUGUUUUAGACUUUUAGUCAGAGUAUUAAUUUUGCUUCUAGCUUUUAUAUCCAGCUUCAUUCUUUUGUGCAACAUUGUUGCUUACAGAAAUGGAUGUAGACAGUGUUGAUCAAAAGUGUCAUUUCGGAAUAUGGGUAACCUUACAUGAUCUUUACUCAGUAGGUGACCCGACCCGAACUUUGUUCAGGUAGUUGUUAACCUAGGUUUGCUAUCUUCUUCAGUAAAAGUUUAUCUACCUAUAUAGAAAUAAAACCUUCAAUACAAGUGUUGAAAUUUUCUAGAAUAUAUUGAUGGUCCAAGUCAUGGAAUAUAGUAGUGAUGAAAGAAUUACUUGGUGAGCAAGCAUAUUCCUUUGGAGGCUGUGUGCCAUAUAGUGAUGGUGAUGGAGAUAACAGUCUCCUUUGGGUUGUUGUUAGCUCAGGUUUGCUAUCUUCUGCAAUAAAAGUUUGUCUAAUUAUGUAGAAAUAAAAGUUUCAUUAAAGUGUUUGAAAUUUCUUAGAACUUAUUGAUGGUCCAAGUUAUGAAAUAUAGUAGUGAUGAAUACUUGGUGAGCAAGCAUAUUCCUUUGGAUGCAAGGGUGGGCUGUGUGGCAUAUAGUGAAUAUAGUGAUGACUGAUGAGAUAACAGUCUCCUUUGUGGACUUGAAAAUACCUCACCUGUCUUGCACUUUGGGACUUUGUGGAGGUUUUGGAUUUCUUAUUAGCAUCUUGUGGACUUUUCUCUAUCAUGCAUAUACUUAGAGCUUAGUGUGCAACUAAGUCUGGAAGACUGCAAUGCAGUGCCACAAGCAGUAACUAGUAAAGUAUACCAAGUAGUAAAGUGUUUCUUUCAUACUUUUGAUCUUAGAAAAUUUUCCACUAAAAAAUUGCAAAUAAGCCAAAGAACUAUACCCCAAAAAAAAAAGCAGGAGGAAGAAGUUUUGUUUUAUAGAAAACAAGCUAUAGGACCACAAAUCCAUCCACAAACCCCAAAGUCAAUCUGUCUGUCAUGAGAUUCAAAUGAUCUUGAUAAAGUUUUUCCCUCUUCUCUCAGAACAUCCUCAUACAUGCUUUUCAUCUCAUAUUCUAUCAUCAACCAACCAUGGUUUGUAGGUGAAGAUUUGUCAUUUUUACAACAUUUAUCUUGGUUUGUGUUGAUGAAUAUGAAAACAUAUACUAUAAAUCUAUAACUAUACAUAAUUUUCACCACUGUAUAUUUAGUCAAUAAUAUCUAUAACAUUGGAAAAUGUGCAUGGCAUGCAUGCUUACUUAGCUUAUUUGUCCUUAACAAACAAUCCUUAUGUAGCUUAUUUGUCUUCAUUUAGAGCCCACUUAUCAAUGAAGAUAGCAUCAUCAUCAUCAUCAAAGAUUUGUCACUCUCUGAUAACAAAGUUAAGGAACAAAUCACAAUUAGUAAAUUGAUUCUCAUCUUACUAUUAACCACAAAAUCUUAUAUAUAUACAAAUAAAACUAAAAGAAAAUACUCUGUAAUAAAAAAUAAUAUAAUUAAAAAAUCAUAUAAGAAAAAUUAAAAAAAUUUACUAAUAAACUUGAGAAUUUACUAAUAAUUAAAAAAAUUAUAAUUGUUUACUAAUCAUAUGAUUGUUUCGCAGAAAAAAACCAAAAAAGCUGUGUUUGGUUCGCGGAACAAUUAUUAAUUUUUUAAUAAAAAAUCAUAUAUUUUUACUAAAUUUAUUAAAAAAUCAUAUGAUUUUUUUUUUUUAAAACUUGAGAAAAAAGAAUAAAAUUUACUAAAAAUCAUAUUUGUUUCUCUUGUUUCUCAAACCUAAAAAAUAUAUAUUCUUAGUUUUUACUAAAAAAAUAAUAAAUAAAAAUUGUGUGUUGGUUCGCGGAAUCUAGAUUUCAGAAAAACAAAAGGUAGUAUUAGUAUAAAUGUAUAACGAAUGGUAUAGCCAACAAUUGUGCGCACAAAAGAGAGAAGAGAGAGGGAAUUCUUAAGAAUUCUACCGAAGUUAAACACUUACCUUUAUAUCUAGCUAGUUUUGGAAAUUGGUUUCCAUUUUAUAAAUACAGAAACCAUAUUCCGCCACACUUAGUCAGAAUCUGUUUUCCUAAUUUAUCUUAAGUUUUAAGUUAUUGUCGUUUUGAUUUUCUCCCGUUUUUCAAAAAACUGAAUGCCCUCGAACCAAACACAACCAAAAUCCAUAGUCAAUCUUUUUAAUUCUAUUACUAUACAAAAAUCUAUCUAUAAAAAAUAUUAAAUUAUAAAAUUAAUAUUUGAUUUUAUAAAUAUAAAACAAUUUUAUUGAUAAACUCAAGAAUCUACCUAAACAUAGAGGACAUGCGCGCCACAAAGUGCACUGCAAGUUAUUUUUAAAUAACAAAUCUAAUUUUCUAAAUACAUAUUUAUUCAAACCAGUGGUCAUCGCAUUGUUAUCUAUUAUCGACCGAUUUUAGGAGGUCCAUUAUACUUUGGGUGGAUCCAAAAUUUGUGUGCCUCCGUCCACUUUGGUUUUUUUUUUUUUUUCUUUCUCUCUCAUCUUCUUCUCUCCUCGAACUCUCUCUCUAUCUGCUUCAUCCCUCUUUAUUCUUCCUCCUCUUCUCUCUUCUUCCCCGUCUCGUUCUCCUUCACAGCCCAAAGUCGGUCCCCACCGUUUCACGGUUCUAUAUUCUUAAAACAAUAUAUUUAUAUUUAAUAAAUUUUUUAUCGCAUAAAAAAUAAACACGCUACAAACUGUGUUUAGAAGGCCUUUAAAAAAUAAAUAAAUUGGUGAGGGUGCAUAAAUCACCAUGUACAUAGAGUUGUACAAGAUCAUCCUCAAAAUCUUUAGUCACACUUUCCCCAUUCCCACUCCCCCUCCCCACACAAGAAACUUUCUUGAAAAAAAUGCCACUCUUUUUUGUCUAACUCUUCGUACUCUGCUUCACUUCACUCUCUCCAAAAGAUACUCCUUGCUCACCACGUUAUUAUCUUUUCUCCCAAGGAAAUCCGUCUUCUUUGACUCCUCUUCUUCUCAAACAUUUUCAUAUAAAAAACCUUUAUUUUGAUUCAAAACUAAGUGAAAACCAUUAAACCAACAUCCCCAUUUCAUAAAACAGAGCAAAAUUGCAUUUAGAAGAAGAUGGUAUGUUGAAAAAUUUCUUUAAAUUCAAAAAAAUGGAGUCAUUAGUAUUAAAACCUAUUUUUAUUCAUGGGUUUUCUUCUUCAUUUCAUUUUCUUCUGUUAUUUCUUCUAUUGGUUUAUUGGGUUUUCAAGAAAAUGAAAAAUAAUGAAAAUGGUAGUAAUAAUAAUAAUAGUAAUAGAUUUUUGUAUUAUAAGCCUACCCUUUUAAUUUCUAUUGGUUUAUCAAUCUUUCAACUUGUCAUUUGUGUUUUAAAUUACUUUUAUUGGUAUUCAAAUGAUUGGUUUGAUGAAAAGAUUAUUACCCAGUUAGAUUUAUUUCUCAAAACAAUAACAUGGUUUGCAAUUUCUGGUUAUUUAUGUUAUUCAAAUUACCAAAAAAUUCCCAUUUUCUUAAGAAUUUGGUGGGUUUUUUACUUCUUUUUAUCAUGUUAUUGUUUAGUAUCAGACCUUAAACAUCAAGGGUUUACAGUUACACCAACAUAUGUUUUUGUUUCCGAGGUUGUUUCCAUUGUUAUGGGGGUUUUCUUUCUAUAUAUGGGAGUUUUCGGAAAUAAGGAAGGAGAAGUAAGUCAUCUUCAACAACCUUUAUUGAAUGGUCAUGGUGAUGAUGGUGUGAGAAAAAAUGUUAGAGGGGAUGACUAUGAAUAUCCAUUCUCGAAUGCAGGUAUUUUUAGUAUACUUACUUUUUCAUGGAUGAGUCCUUUACUAGCUGAAGGUAAUAAGAAAACUAUAGAUCUUGAGGAUGUUCCUCAACUUGAUAGUGGGGAUAGUGUUAAUAAAGUUUAUCCGACUUUUAAAAAUAAGCUUUACUCGGAUAAUGGCAAUGGUGAUCAAGUAUCAACUUUGAAACUUGUGAAAGCAUUGCUUUAUGCGACAUGGAGGGAAGUUUUAUUAACGGGUGUAUUGGCUUUAGUUUAUACCUUUGCUUCUUAUGUCGGUCCAUACCUUAUUGAUACAUUUGUUCAGUAUCUUAAUGGUCGUCGUGAAUUCAAUAAUGAAGGGUAUGUUUUGGUUUCUGCGUUCUUUUUUGCAAAGCUUGUUGAGUGCUUCUCGCAGAGGCAUUGGUUUUUUAGGUUGCAACAAGUUGGUAUUAGGCUACGUGCUGCUUUAAUUGCACUGCUCUAUAAGAAAGGUCAGACUCUUUCAAGUCGAUCAAAACAAAGUCAUACUAGUGGGGAGAUAAUCAAUUUCAUGACUGUUGAUGCGGAGAGAAUUGGUGAUUUUAGUUGGUACUUGCAUGAUUUGUGGAUGGUUCCCAUUCAAGUGAUUCUGGCAUUAUUGAUAUUGUACAAGAAUCUUGGACUUGCUUCCAUUGCAGCUUUUGUGGCCACUGUAAUUGUGAUGUUGGCAAAUGUUCCAUUGGGAAAGUUGCAGGAAAAUUUCCAGGGGAAGUUGAUGGAAUCUAAGGAUGGAAGAAUGAAGAAAACAUCGGAAAUUCUGCGGAACAUGAGAAUCCUUAAACUGCAGGGAUGGGAAAUGAAGUUUUUGUCUAAGGUUAUUGACCUGAGAAAGAAUGAAGAAGGAUGGCUUAGAAAGUAUGUAUACACAUCAGCCAUGACUACUUUCGUUUUCUGGGGAGCCCCUACAUUUGUGUCUGUAGUAACAUUUGGGGCCUGUAUGCUUAUGGGAAUCCCACUAGAGUCAGGAAAGAUUCUUUCUGCACUUGCAACAUUUAGAAUAUUGCAAGAGCCCAUCUAUAACCUUCCCGAUACAAUCUCAAUGAUAGCUCAAACUAAGGUGUCUCUUGACAGGCUUGCUUCUUUCCUACGUCUCGAUGACCUGCAACCUGAUGUAAUAGAAAAAGCACCUAAAGGUUCCAAGGUCUCAAUUGAGAUAAGAGAUGGGUGUUUUUCAUGGGAUCCCGCUUCUUCUAGUCCUACGUUGCAAGAUAUCAAUUUCCGCGUCUUUCAUGGUAUGAGGGUUGCUGUUUGUGGUACAGUUGGUUCCGGAAAGUCGAGCUUACUUUCAUGUAUCUUAGGGGAUGUGCCAAAGGUAUCUGGCACGGUUAUGUUAAGUGGGAAAAAGGCUUAUGUCGCUCAAUCUCCUUGGGUACAGAGUGGGAAGAUUGAAGAAAAUAUAUUGUUUGGGAAGGAGAUGGACAGAGAAAGGUAUGAGAAGGUUCUUGAAGCAUGUUCAUUAAAGAAGGACCUUGAAAUUCUGUCGUUUGGGGAUCAGACAGUUAUAGGGGAAAGAGGUAUCAAUCUGAGUGGUGGGCAGAAGCAACGAAUACAGAUUGCGCGCGCCUUAUAUCAAGACGCUGACAUUUAUCUCUUUGAUGAUCCUUUCAGUGCAGUGGAUGCUCACACUGGAACACAUCUCUUUAAGGUAUCUUUUCUUCGAUUAAACUAAAACUCUAGUUUAUAUCAUAUUUGAUAAAAGAUAUUAGGAACAAGCAUGCAACUUGAUAUAGAUUGGGCAUCUUUUCUCUUGAAUAUAGGUACCUAUAAAUUAAUAUCUAGCUAGUGAACAUCUUAAUUUAAUUGAACUGAUGUUUGUUUUUAUUGGUAUAUACAAAUAUAGAUGAUUUUAAAUAUUUGGGCCAUUUUUAUUACGUAUGUCUGACUGAUUGAGGUAUUUAUCUGAUGACUGUAAGUAUCUGUCGUCUAUCAAUUCCAUCACCCUUUCAUUGAAUGGCUUUCAGGAGUGUCUAUUAGGACUUUUGGGUUCCAAGACAGUGAUUUAUGUUACUCAUCAAGUAGAAUUCUUACCAUCUGCGGAUCUUAUCCUGGUAGGUGUCAAACUUAAUACUUCUCAUUCUUUAAUAUGUUUGAUAUUAUUUGGUUACAAUUUUUCACCUUCUCUUGUUUGACAGGUAAUGAAAGAUGGAAAGAUUUCACAAUCGGGUAAGUAUGAUGCGAUUCUCAAUUCAGGAACAGACUUUAUGGAAUUGGUGGGAGCACAUAAGAAGGCCUUGUCAACCCUCAAAUCCGCAGAGACUGCUGCAGAUUCUAAACAUGCAAAAGGUAUUGAGGAAAAUGUAUCCGUGGAGAAUGAUAAGAUAGCUGAGCAUGGAGAAGAGAAAAAGAGAGAAGCGAGCAACAAAGACGAAAAUAUCAGUCCACAAGCACAGCUUGUUCAAGAAGAAGAGAGAGAAAAAGGAAGAGUUGGUCUUCAAGUGUACUGGAAAUAUCUUACCACAGCAUAUGGGGGAGCUUUGGUGCCAUUUAUAAUUUUUGUGCAGGUUCUGUUUCAGACCCUUCAGAUUGGGAGCAAUUACUGGAUGGCUUGGGCCACUCCCAUAUCCGAGGAUGUGGAACCUCCGGUUAAAGGCUCUACUCUUAUAUUUGUUUAUGUUAUCUUGGCAAUUGGAAGCUCCAUUUGUGUUCUUGUAAGGGCUCUGCUUCUUGUAACCGCUGGGUACAAAACAGCGACAAUACUUUUCAACAAAAUGCAUAUGUGUAUCUUCCGUGCUCCUAUGUCAUUUUUUGAUGCUACCCCAAGUGGAAGGAUAUUAAAUAGAGUAAGUGAGCAUAAUCAUUUGUUUUCAUUGUUACAGUUUCAUCUGUGGAUUUCAAGAGCUAAUAACUAUCUUCCAUCCAGGCGUCUACAGAUCAAAGUGCAGUGGAUCUGAACAUUCCAUACCAAAUAGGAUCAUUUGCCUUUUCAAUUAUACAACUUAUCGGCAUUAUUGUAGUAAUGUCACAGGUGGCAUGGCAGGUCUUUAUUAUAUUUAUACCUGUGAUCGGGACCUGCAUUUGGUAUCAGGUAAUUCUUCUAUAUUCAACGUUUAUUUCUCCGCACUUGAUUUUUGUAAACCCUGUGAUAGCAUUAUGUAAGGGAGUUAAAAGAACCAUUAAUGUUCAAUAGAAGCAAGCCAAGUAACCAGUUUUGCAGUGUUUAAACUUUAAUGAACAUUAAUAGCCAAGUAACUUGUGAUCGGGCUCUGCUUUAAAAAUGUUUCACACUGAAGACAUGCCACACCUCAAAGUAGUACAUAAGCCUCAAGAAUAGUCUGCUUUAAUAACACUAAAGACAUGCCAAUGUUGAAUCAAAGUAUGUCUUAAAGGAGUAAUUGCACAGCAGCCCAAACCCUACUAGGUGAAAGAGAUUCAAAAUGACAACUCAUCUAAAUCGUACUAGAUGUGUUUCAAUAUUACUUUUGAUAGAAUUAAUGAUCUCGCAUAGAUGUUAGCUCGAAUUCAUUUUUCCAGGUCUCGAAUGUUGAUCAUAAAAAUUGCCUUCACUAGUGAAUCCAUAUAUACUGCUUAAGAUACAAGAAAAAUAUUUUGGAAGGUGUUUUCAUCACUUGUUUGCCAUAAAAUGCAGUCUUUACUUAUUGUCCUUCACAUGUGCACAUGCACCAACUGGAUGGAAGAUCUUUUACUAACUAUUGAGCAUCUUCUUGUGGACCACUCAAUUUAGUUAUGUUAAUUAAAAUUCUUGUUUUCAGCAAUACUAUAUACCGACAGCACGAGAAUUAGCACGCUUGAUUGGAGUAUGCAAAGCACCACUUAUACAGCAUUUCGCAGAAUCUAUCUCGGGAUCAACUACUAUCAGGAGCUUUGAUCAGGAAUCAAGAUUCAUGGACACAAACCUGAAGCUGAUGGACAGCUAUUCACGUCCCAGGUUCUAUUCUUCUGGUUCAAUGGAAUGGUUGUGCUUUCGACUAGAUAUGCUAUCAUCCAUCACAUUUGCCUUCUCAUUGAUAUUCUUGAUCUCUGUGCCAGAGGGAACAAUUGAUCCUGGUAAGUGGAUCCCACUAGGCCUUCACAAAUGCUACAUUCUGAGGACUGAUUGGCUUCAGAAAGGAAUAAGUAUCGCUAAUGUCUUUUCUCUUGUUUGAUAGGAAUUGCGGGAUUAGCAGUUACGUAUGGGCUUAAUUUGAACAUGCUACAAGCAUGGGUAAUAUGGAAUCUUUGCAAUCUUGAGAACAAAAUUAUAUCUGUUGAAAGAUUACUGCAGUACACAUGUAUCGCCAGUGAGCCUCCUCUUGUGAUAGAAGCAAAUAGGCCAGAUGGUAAUUGGCCUUCACAUGGUGAAAUUAAUAUUCACAACCUACAGGUAAUCUCAGUCCAUGUAAUAUUGAAGAUCCAAUAUGAACUUAUUUUCUUUCUCUUUAACAUGAGAUACAUACCAUCUUCCAGAUAUGAUGUAAUUUAUCUGAAAUAUAUUUCCGCCUAUUAUCUGUUUAAAGUUGUAUAUAUUAUUAUGCUGAUUGAAUGCUAUAAUGGAUAGGUUCGUUAUGCCCCACACAUGCCUCUUGUUUUACGAGGUCUUACAUGCACUAUUCCUGGGGGUAUGAAAACUGGCGUUGUUGGGAGAACAGGAAGUGGUAAAUCGACUCUUAUUCAGACACUUUUCCGCCUAGUUGAACCUGCUGCUGGCGAAAUUCUAAUAGAUGGUCUCAAUAUCUCUACGAUUGGACUGCAUGAUUUGCGGUCCAGAUUAAGCAUAAUUCCACAAGAUCCAACCAUGUUCGAGGGGACUGUUCGUAGCAACCUUGAUCCGCUUGAAGAGCACACGGAUGAACAUAUAUGGGAGGUGCGUUCUUUUCUCUUUUAAAACUUAGGAGCACUGAGGAAAUUUGAGAGAGGAAAUUUCAGCUAUCUUCUUUGGUGCCCUAUAUUGCAUUCAAUGUGAGCAUACUAAUGUUAAUGUAAAAAACGAGUUCAAAGAAUGGUUACCAAUAUAAUUGCAUUUUAAUCUCUUAAAGUAGGUAAGCACUUCUAUAUAGCUGAGAUCCUGAAGUGAUGGUGCAUAAAUGCACCUUCAGCUAAUUUCUCUUGUUCUAUUCAGCAUUUCUACAAUUUCUACCAUUUAACAUCUCUUUCAAAGUUUCUUGUCAGCAGGAAUAACUAAAAUUUGUACACGUUUGUUUGAUAUGUUAGGCGCUCGAUAAGUGCCAGCUUGGAGACGAAGUAAGAAAGAAGGAAGGGAAACUUGAUUCCAUAGGUUUGCUCCUCUUAUUGGCUAAUCCAUUGACUUUAUAUUUGAUUUCAUAGCUUUAUAAUAUCCUUAGUAUGAGGGACACAAUUUCCAUUUGAUGUUGUUGCAGUUACUGAAAACGGAGAGAAUUGGAGUAUGGGUCAAAGACAGUUGGUUUGUCUUGGACGAGUACUACUAAAGAGAAGUCAAGUUUUGGUGCUGGAUGAAGCUACUGCUUCCGUGGAUACUGCAACCGAUAAUUUGAUUCAGCAAACACUUAGGCAGCACUUUUCGGACUCCACAGUAAUCACAAUUGCACAUCGAAUAACAUCUGUUCUUGAUAGUGAUCUGGUCCUACUUCUCGAUCAUGGUUAGUACAAGAAUAUAGGUCAUAUAUUUAUCCCUUUUUUUUUCCUCUAGGGUUUUCACUUAUAUUUCAAAUUCUUUUGUUUUAUCCACAGGCCUUAUUCUGGAGCAAGACUCCCCAUCAAAAUUACUAGAAAACAAGUCGUCAUUGUUUGCAAAGCUUGUUGCUGAGUAUACAGUACGAUCGAGUUCGAGCUUCGGUGAUUUAAGUGCUUCUUGAUGUAGGAUGUUAGUUAGGUUGCAUUCACCUGUGAUGAAUGGAUGAUGAUGACGAUAACCAAUAGGCAACACCAGUUUUGUUUAUGAGGAGGCCAUAACAUUAUGGUCUGAGAGCUAAGACUGGAGCUUUAAUAGGUGACAAUAUUUACUUGCUCAUUCUGAGAGGUUAGAGUAGAACUGUCUCACGGAAGCCGAAGAAAGCCAUCCAAUUGCUUGUUAGAGGCAGGUUAUAAUUAUGAGUUCGAGGGAGGUGCGACAUUGCACGUGUAAACUUGUAUUGAACAAUAACAAAUAAUAUGCAAGUAAAUUUUCAAGUAUAAACAGAGCAAUUAUUGCUCAUAGCUAAUUAUAAAUUAGUUUUAGUUUGCUUCAUUUUGUUGGAGACAAAAUAAUGUGUAACAGAAAAUUUUCUUCUCCUGUUCGAGAGAAACUAUUAGAACGCUUAAUUUUGUUGGAUUUCCAUCAUGGAUCUCAGUGGAAACAACAUGCAUGUAACAUCCAAACGGAGUAAGCAAGGGCUUUGCAGAUGUUGUGAUUCAGCUUCAGGUUGAGGACACGCUAUUGAUGAUGGUUUACGAUAUCUAUUAAAGGUCUUCUUCCCUAAGGGAUGGACAUUUGGUACUACUAUUACUGUGGCCUGUUUUGAGAUUUUGACAGCUACCUGAUUCAAGCCUUCACUUGAGGUACUUUCAGAAUGCGAGAUAAAGGGCUGCUUUUCCUAUAUCGCGAAGUUACAGAUUGCAGUGAGACUCAUAUCCAGCAGAUUGCAGUGAUUUGUUCGCGAAUACUUGAAUGCUGAUGACGUUUUACAAACUUGGGGAUUGUACGCAAGGUCUUGGGAUCGAUCACCACUCUCACACUCUAUAAUAAAAAAGUAAUCUCUGUUCUCCAAGGACCUGAGGACCUUCUCCAUGUGGAUGUGGACAUUUCGUCGAGCCACUUGAAUCUUCAUGUGUGGAUGCUUCGUAAGUUCAUGUUUUGGUUUGGACUAUUUUUCUUUUUGUUUUCUCCUUCAAGAUGUUUGUUAGUUAGUUUAACAGAAAUUAUACAACUUCCACAGAAGAAGAGAAAACAAUAAACUACAAUUUGCCAGAAGAAGAGAAAACAAUAAACUACAAUUUGCCAACUUGAAAAAUCGGAAAUUUCCUGACCCUUAACUUCCCAUCAGUCCAUCACCCACAGGUGUAUGUCUUUCUUGUCUUACUACCACCAGUCUUCUUUCAACAAGGCAUAUUCCUUCCAUGGAGCAUGGAAGCUGCUUAUUUUGACUCUCUGGCUCUCACUUUCUCUUUAAGAACAUGUACCAUUGUCUUACUAUCACCAGUCUUGUUCAUGGGGUUUCAGCUCAUCUUCUUCUCUUACUUGUUCUAUCUGUUUAUAAGAAACCCAACAUUAGAAGAUUGUAACCACUAAAGCUUGACUUCCACUAUUAUUGAAGGUCCAAUUGUCAACUUUUCAUUAAAUAAAAAAAGGGGGAUUUAGAGAUACCCAAAAAAUAAUAGGAACUCUUUGAGAUACCCCCAGAUUUAGAAACUCUUAGAGAUACCCCAUUUUUCCAUUUGAAGCCGGUCAACCAAGUCGUUGACCAUGGUCUGACCAGUCUUCAUAAUUUUUAGACAAUUUUACCCUCCCACCAAUUUUUAGAAUAGAGGAGGAAGAAGAAGGUGGAGUUUGAUGAUGUAACGGUAGAUAGGAUUAGAUAUAGAUCUAGAUUUAUUUUGAACGGUUAGGAUAAGAAGUUGUAGUUGUAAGUGGGUUUGCUGACAUGGCAUUAUUGAUGACUGGGCAAAAUGACUAGGAUGUGGGUUUAAAUGGUGGGAGGGUAAAAUUGUCUAAAAAUUAUGAAGACUGGUCAGACCAUGGUCAACGGCUUGGUUGACCGGCUUCAAAUGGAAAAAUGGGGUAUCUCUAAAAGUUUCUAAAGCUGGGGUAUCUCAAAGAGUUCCUAUUAUUUUGGGGUAUCUCUAAAUCCCCAUAAAAAAAAGUAGUGGGUAAGAUACAUAUUGCUCACUUUAGUCUUGUGGGACUGAAUUUUUUUUUUUGUCUUUGAUGUUUCAUGAAUAGGCCUAUCCUUGUGAUUCCAAUGAGGGUCCUGUGAUGACAAAAACCCUCCUCCCUAUUCAACAUUAUGUCGUUUUUAGUUGACCAAACACCAAGGUUACAUCUUGUGAUGCAAGUGGUGUGUGUCUUGUUAUCCACUUAGAUGGUUUGUUAUUUGUAUGAUGUGGGAAGGGAUCUCGAGUUCUUUUAGUGCUCCAACCUAUGAAAACAAUGAAACAUACACUUGGAGAGUUUCGUCAUACGCAGAGAAGUCACUCUGCUGCAAGGUGUUUACUUGGGUCUGCCUGUCUGGACAAAAUUUUCAUAGAAUUUUUAGUUAAUAAUUGUCACCAUCACCUAUAUUAUCUUCCUGGGUAAAAUAUGCUAACUAUUUUGUAUUCUAUUGUGCUUUUUCCUAGUUCCCUCCAUCCAAAGAGUCAUCACUUCACUUUCCUUCCAAGGAAGCUGCCUUCUUUUGACUCUAUGUCACCCUUACACUAAAAAUCUUCACUUCACUUUAUAUUGGUAUGAAAUACUAAACAAAACACAACCAAAGCUGUAUACAAAGGAUUACCCUAGUAAUGUACAAUUUCCUCUUUAAUUCUCUUUUUGUUCAUGGAUUUUCUGCUAUUAGUUACAUUAUUCUUUUACUAGUUCUUUCUGUUUCUUGGAUUUACAAGAAACUCACCAAUGAGAUUGAGAAUAGGUCUUUGUACCACAAAAUAACCCUUUUCUCUUGUAUAGCUUUAUCACUGUUUAAUCUUCUCCUAUGUGGUAUAAACUAUUUUUAUUUCAUUACAAAUAGUUGGUCACAUGAAAAGAUUGUAUGUCAGUUGGAUUUAGUAAUCACAGCAAUAUCUUGGUUUGCUAUUUCUGCUUACUUGUAUUAUUUCCAUCACUUGAAAUUUCCUGUUUUCUUAAAGAUUUGGUGGGUUUUCUUCUUCUUAUUAUCAUGUUAUUGUGUAGUAUUCGACGUUAAUCAUUCUCUUGUACCAAUCCAUCUUUGGAUUAAGGAUGUAGUUUCUUUUGUGAUAGGGGUGUUUUUCCUUUAUGUUGGAGUUUUUUGUAACAAGGAAGGUGAACAAACAUUUCUUGAAAAGCCACUUUUGGGUAAUGGUGAUGAUGGUUUGAGGAAGAGUACACUAAAAGACAAUCAUGAACCUCCAUUCUCAAAAGCAGGUCUUUUCAGUGUCCUUACUUUCUCUUGGUUGAACCCUUUGCUCGAUGUAGGUAACCAGAAAACAAUAGGCCUUGAUGAUGUUCCACAACUCGAUAGUAGAGAUAGUGUUAACGGGGCCUAUCCAAUUUUUAGAAAUACGCUUUACUCCUAUAGUAGAAAUAGUGAUCAAGUAUCAACUCUCAAACUUGUGAAGGCAUUGCUUUUUGCGAAUUGGAGAGAAGUCCUUUUUACAGGUUUCCUCUGUUUUCUAUACACCAUUUCUUGCUAUGUUGGUCCAUACCUUAUUGAUAAUCUAGUUCAGUACCUUAGUGGUCACCGUGAUUUCAAAAAUGAAGGAUACUUUCUGGUUUGUGCGUUCUUUUUUGCGAAGCUUGUUGAGUGCUUCUCGCAGAGGCAAUGGUUUUUUAGGAUACAAGAGGUGGGUAUUAGAGUACGUGGUGCUGUGAUUGCAUCGAUCUAUCAGAAAUCUCAGACUCUCUCAAGUCAAUCGAAGCAAGCUCAUACUAGUGGCGAGAUCAUUAAUUUAGUGUCCGUUGAUGCUGAGAGACUUGGUGUUUUCGGUUGGUACUUGCACGACUUGUGGAUGGUCCCUGUGCAAGUGAUUCUGGCCUUACUGAUACUGUACAAGAACCUUGGGCUAGCUUCAAUUGCUUCGUUUCUGGCCACUGUACUUGUGAUGUUGGCAAAUGUUCCAUUCGGCAAGUUGCAGGAAUAUUUCCAGGAGAAGUUGAUGGAAUCUAAAGAUGGAAGAAUGAAGAGAACAUCUGAAAUUCUGCAGAACAUGAGAAUCCUCAAACUUCAGGGUUGGGAGAUGAAAUUUUUGUCUAAAGUUGUUGAUCUCAGAAAGAAUGAGGAAGGGUGGCUGAAAAGGUACCUGUACACAUCAGCCACAACCUCUUUCAUUUUCUGGGAAGCUCCUACAUUUGUGGCUGUAAUAACUUUUGGGGCAUGUGUUCUUAUGGGGAUCCCACUAGAGUCUGGAAAGAUUCUAUCAUCGCUUGCAACGUUCAGAAUACUACAAGAACCCAUAUAUUCUCUCCCUGAUACUAUUGCAGUGGUAGCUCAAACUAAAGUUUCCUUUGAUAGGAUUGCAAAUUUUCUUCGUCUCAGUGAUUUGCAACUUGAUGCAAUUGGGAAGCUUCCUGAAGGAUCUGAUGUCUCAGUUGAGAUAAAUGAUGGGAAUUUCUCUUGGGAUCCCUCUAACUCUAAUCAUACAUUAAAAGAUAUCAAUUUGCAAGUAUUUCAUGGCAUGAGGGUAGCUGUAUGUGGUACGGUUGGCUCCGGAAAGUCAAGCCUACUUUCAUGCAUUUUAGGAGAAGUUCCAAAAAUAUCUGGCACCGUUAAGUUAAGCGGGAAAAAGGCUUAUGUUGCCCAAUCUCCUUGGAUACAGAGUGGAACUGUAGAAGAGAAUAUAUUGUUCGGUAAGGAGAUGGACAGAGAAAGUUAUGAGAGGGUUCUUGAAGCAUGCUCUUUGAAGAAGGACCUGGAAAUUCUUUCCUUUGGGGAUCAGACAGUUAUAGGGGAGAGAGGAAUCAAUUUGAGUGGUGGGCAAAAACAACGGAUACAAAUUGCACGUGCCUUAUAUCAGGAUGCUGAUAUAUAUCUCUUUGAUGAUCCUUUCAGUGCGGUGGAUGCUCAUACGGGAACACAUCUUUUUAAGGUAAGGCUUUUUGGAUUUGGUAACACAUUUUAAUUUUAUUGAAAUGCAUCUCUAGAUUAUAUACUCUAGGAAAUAAAGCACACUCUUACAAUAUUUUGAGUGUGUCCUGUCAAUAUCUGUUAUAUAAUGGGCAUCUUCUUACAGGAGUGUCUACUAGAACGUCUGCAUUCCAAAACAGUGAUUUAUGUUACUCAUCAAGUUGAAUUCUUACCUUCUGCGCACCUAAUACUGGUAUGUCUUGACAUUUCUUCCCUCUCUCUAAUAUGUUUUACCCAAUCGGAGAUGAUUAUCUACUUUUUCUUGUUUGAUAGGUAAUGAAAGAUGGAAAGAUUAUACAGUCGGGCAAAUAUGAUGAGAUUCUCAGUUCAGGAACAGAUUUUAUGGAACUAGUGGGCGCACAUAAGAAGGCCUUGUCAACCCUCAAGUCCUCAGAGACAGGACUAGCUUCUAAACAUGCUAAAAAUAUUCAUGAUAAUGACUCGAUGGAGGACAGUAAUAUUGACACGCAAAAAGAAGAGAGAAAUAUAGAACGGGACAGCAAGGACGAAAUAGUCGGGCAAAAUGCACAGAUUGUACAAGAAGAAGAGAGAGAGAAAGGUAGAGUUGGUCUUCAGGUCUACUGGAAAUAUAUUACCAUGGCAUAUGGGGGAUCUCUGGCAGCGUUGGUAUUAGUGAUACUAGUUCUGUUUCAGAUCCUUCAGAUUGGGAGCAAUUACUGGAUGGCUUGGGCCACUCCUGCGACGAAGGAUGUUAAACCACUGGUCAAUGCCUCUACCCUUAUAUUUGUGUAUGUUGCCUUGGCCAUUGGAAGCUCUUUUUGUGUGCUUGGUAGGACCGUGCUGCUUGCAACAGCGUCGUUUAAAACAGCAACAAUACUUUUCAACAAAAUGCAUAUUUGUAUUUUCCGUGCUCCUAUGUCAUUUUAUGAUGCUACCCCAAGCGGACGGAUACUUAAUAGAGUAAGUAAACAUAUAUGUUUGUUUUAUUUGUCUUCGUAUUGUAGUUCAAUACCUAAUUUGCUGUCUCCCAUCCAGGCUUCUUCAGAUCAAAGUGCAUUGGAUCUGGCCAUUUACAAUCAAAUGGGAGCAUUUGCUUCCUCAUUCAUACAAGUUGUUGGAAUUAUCUCAGUAAUGGCUCAGGUUGCAUGGCCUGUUUUUAUUAUUUUUAUACCCAUAAUUGGGACCUGCAUUUGGUAUCAGGUAAUGCUCACCUCGUCAUCGGUUUUCUUUUUCCUCCGUAACACAUUUUUCUUUUCCACAACUGAAGUUUGGAAUGUCUGCUUAAAGUCUCUCUUGUAUAUUUCCUCUCAAAUGUUCAAACAUAUUGCAUGUAAAUCAUCAGGAACUGCAUAAUUACUUUUGAAAGACCAUUCUCACUACUUUUGAGCAAAACCUUGUGAGACCAUUUAUCCAACUUUUGAGUAAAACCUUGCUCAUGACUCUGAUUUUCAGCAAUACUAUAUAUCGACUGCCCGAGAACUAGCACGUCUGAUUGGAACAUGCAAAGCACCCAUAAUUCAGCAUUUCACUGAAUCUAUCUCUGGAUCUACAACCAUCAGGAGCUUUGAUCAGGAAUCAAGAUUCAUGGACACAAACCUGAAGCUGAUGGAUGAUUUUUCGCGCCCCAAGUUUUACUCUGCUAGUACAAUGGAGUGGCUAUGUUUCCGCUUGGAUAUGCUUGCAUCAGUCACAUUUGCUUUCUUUUUGAUUUUCUUGAUCUCUGUGCCGGAGGGAACCAUUGAUCCUGGUAAGUUGUUCCCAUUUCAACUUUACUGAUUCAAAAACUGUAGUCUGACUGUGUUUGAUGAGAACUGGAGACAUGUCUUGUUAUGGACGAUUUCCAUGAGAAUUCUUUAUAAAUAAUAGAAAUUCCCAGGGAAAUGCACAUAAUAAAUGGAUAUAGUUUCAUUCUGAGGAUCAAUUGAUCACAGAAAGAACGUCCAUAUCAUUAUUUUCUUGUCUUACAGGCAUUGCAGGUUUAGCGGUCACUUAUGGGCUGAAUUUGAGCGGGGUUCUAGGAUGGGCAAUCCGGCAGCUUUGCUUUGUUGAGAACAAGAUCAUAUCUGUCGAGAGAAUACUUCAAUACACAUGUAUCCCCAGUGAGCCUCCUCUUGUGAUAGAAGCGCAUAGGCCAGACAAUGAUUGGCCUUCACAUGGUGAUGUUAAUAUUCGUGAUCUACAGGUAAUCUCAAUCUCUGUAAUAUAGAAGAUCCACUGCACUUUUUUUUUUUUCCAUCUGAUGAUAUGGGGGUAGUGAGGUACAUGUUGAUGAGAAAUAUAUCUAUAUUGAACCUACCACAAGCUUCUAUGGUGAGUUCCAUCCCCUAUAUGUUGUUGCUUAUAAUAUCAGAUUAUCAAUUCAACUAAUGCCCUGAUCGAAGUCAACAUUCUUAUCUCUACUAUUCUCAGUAAGACAUUUCAACAGUUAACGGUAAAUGUAUGUUUAUAUGAUGUAGGUUCGUUAUGCCCCACACAUGCCACUUGUUCUACGAGGUAUUACAUGCACUAUUCCUGGAGGAAUGAAGACUGGCGUUGUUGGGAGAACUGGUGGUGGUAAAUCAACUCUUAUUCAGACACUAUUUCGCAUAGUUGAACCUGCUGCUGGUCAGAUUUUAAUAGAUGGCCUCAAUAUCUCUACUAUUGGUCUGCAUGAUUUACGGUCCAGAUUAAGCAUAAUUCCCCAAGACCCAACCAUGUUUGAGGGGACUGUGCGUAGUAACCUUGAUCCGCUUGAAGAGCACACAGAUGAACAAAUUUGGGAGGUGUGUUUCUCCUUUCUUAAAUACAGUACAAUAAAUACUUAAAGCCUGACUUCAUUGUAUUGUUGCUGCAGUAGUGAACUUAUUAAUCAUUUUAUUCUUGUUGUUUAACUAUAUGAUUAUGCAAUACUGAAUACCCUGUCUAGCUAACAAAGUGAUUACUGUAUUUGGCUAAUAGAUAUAUCUGAUUUGAUCCUCAUUAAUGUUAAAAAAAAAAAAGGAGAAAUAAAAAUUAAUUAAAGGAAAAACCUGUUACAUAUGCAUGUGUACUUUAUUUAUAAUUUCAUUAAGGCAGAUCAACACUUACACAAUGUUGACUGUUAAUGACCCUGAAAGCAUGGUGAUGCGGAGUGAUCAAUUCAUCCAACUUAUACAAAUUCUUUUUGCCUUUCUACCAUUCUGAUGACAAGUCCCCAUGCGUUUUAUCACCUUGAGUAAUCUUAACUGCUACAUGUUAUUUUGAUUUCUUAGGCUCUGAAUAAGUGCCAGCUUGGGGACGAAGUAAGAAAGAAAGAAGGAAAGCUUGAUUCCUUAGGUUUGCGCCUCUUAUUCAGCUAUUUGUCUUCAUCUAAUCGAUAUUAAAUGUGCCAUAUUAUUUCAAGAUGUCCCCAAUAUAUAAUAAAGUUCACUUGGGUAUUGCAGUUACUGAAAAUGGAGAGAACUGGAGUAUGGGCCAAAGACAAUUAGUUUGCCUUGGACGAGUUCUAUUGAGGAGAAGCCAAGUUUUGGUAUUGGAUGAAGCUACUGCAUCAGUGGACACAGCAACUGACAACUUGAUACAGCAAACACUCAGGCAGCACUUUUCGGACUCCACAGUCAUCACAAUUGCACAUCGGAUAACAUCAAUUCUUGACAGUGAUAUGGUCCUACUUCUCGAUCAUGGUUAGUAAAGUUGGUCUUACUUACUGUAAAAGCAAGUAAAUUAUACUUUAGCCCUUUAUCUUUGAUGAUAUUAUAUGUUCUUCAUGUUGGUUAUGUUUUUUGACAGGUCUCAUUGUGGAAUACGAUGCCCCAUCAAAGUUAUUAGGUGACAGUUCGUCUUUAUUUGCCAAGCUUGUUGCCGAGUAUACAGUAAGAUCCAGUUCGAGCCUUGAUCAUUGAAAUAGUCUUUGAAAGCUCAACGUUCGGUAGGAAAUUCCGCUGAGAUGCAUGGAUUGAAGAUGACAACAGCCAACCAAGGUGAUACAGCAGUAGAUUCUGUUAAUGUGGUCUUAAAGGUACUUGGUAGUGUCUUGCGUGAUCUGACCAAAGAUUUAGAGGUAGUUGUCAGUAUGCAUUCGCAAGAACUGCUAGAGUUUUAUGAUUCAACCUUGCAGAAAAUCAGUUUUACAAUGUUUGUUGAUGUAUAUACAGUACUGUAAAUUCCACGGAAGCUAUUUGAUGAAUUUCAUAUCAAAAUUCAUUCUUGCAUCUCGCAUGUUACAAUAAAGAUGUCUGUCUACCAGGACCAAUGAAUCGUGCUCGAGCUCUCUGUUAUAUCCAAUAUGCCGGAAAUAAUAAACUGAUAUAAUGUGCAUGUAACUAUAUUAAUUAGUUAUACUUGUCAAGACACAAAUUGCCUCUGAAGCAGGUGCUAGUUGAGCUGAACUGGUAAAACCUUUAGUUGAGCUGAACUGGUAAAACCUUUAGGUGAUGAUACCAGAGGUCUGGGGUUCAAAUCCCUCCAGCGUUACCGAGUUACUGAUGUCAUUAGAAACAAGCUUACCACAACAUUUUCUGCCUAACCCCAGCUUGCUUUCUGCAUAAAAUGGCCAUACAUGCUUAGUUACUAAAGAGGGUUAAAACAAAAACAAGACACGAUUAUUGGCAUGAUUAAGGUUAUAAUGCACCCUGUAAUUAAUAUAUAAUUAUGCACCAAUAUUGAAUUCAAAUUAGAGAUUUUUGGACAUCCACAUACCCCCUCCACCCUUUUGAAAGUGGAAUUUCAAGAUACCCCUAUUUGAAUUUUUUUUUUUUUUUUUGAGAUACCCCGUUUUAAGAUGUGGUGUUAUCUGAAACCAUCCAUCAUAAAACUAAUCUACGGCUGUAAAUGGUGGGCGGGUAUCUCAAUUUUUUUGUUCAAAUGGUGGGUAUCUCUAAAUUCCACUUUCAAACGAGGGGUAUGUCCAAAAAUCUCUUCAAAAUAUUUUAUCGUAUAAAAAGAGCAAAUUAUAUUGUCUUACAAAUAUAUUAAUUCUGAUUAAUGUAGUAAGGUGGGGAUGUAGCUCAAAUGGUAGAGCGCUCGCUUUGCAUGCGAGAGGUACAGGGUUCGAUCCCCUGCAUCUCCACAUCAAUUUAUAUUUGUUUUUUUGAUAAAAAUUUGAUUACGAACAAACUGCGCUGCAAGCCCUUUUUAAUAGCAAAUAUUUAUUGAAACCCGCCGUCAUCAUAUUGCUAUUCAUCACUUUUUUUACAUUUUCAUUUUAUUAUAUACUUCAUGCAUGCAUAUUGCAUAACAUAACCUACUUUUCCAACAAACAUAUCAAAUGAAACUAAUAUAAAGAGUAUGACAACCUUAUGAAUUUUUUCUCUUCCCAUCAUUCUCUUUUUGCAUUUCCAUAACUAUAUAUACUACACAAAACCAUCUUUCCAAAACCAUUACAUUACAUACAUACACAAAUAUGGGUCUUUUUACUACUCUUAUCAUCUUUUUAGGUCUUCUAAGAAUGGUUUCUUCAUCACCAUUAUCACCACCAACACCUCAUGUCAAAUCAUCACCACCAAAACUAGCUGAUCUACCAUUAGCAAUAUCUGAUAUGCGGUCGAAAUCUUAUUAUGGAUUUGUUAUCCUUCUCGACGUUUUAAAUGCUACUACUAAAUCAGGACUUAGUCAACAAGUUACAUUUUUUAUGCCUAGUGAUCAACAAUUAGCCGAGUCACGUAUUUCUCCUGAUAGACUUGAAGAAUUUGUUCUUGGUCAUACUGUUCCUGAACCUUUAGUUUAUGGUGAAUUACAACAUGUACCAAGUGGUACUCUUGUACCUUCUUUUAUGAAGAAUCAGUUGUUAAGGAUUUCUAGUAUAAGAAGACAUGUUUUUGUUAAUAAUGCGCAGAUUGUUGCACCAAAUGUUUGUAAGAGUGCUACUAUUAAAUGCCAUGGAAUUAAUGCUGUUAUUGGUAGGGGUGAGAUGGCGAGUUCAGCUGGGCCAGAUACUGAUCAAGGAAGUGACGACACUGAUCCUUAGCUAGAUUGUGUAGGGAGCGAAAGUGUCGAUCGAUGUACUGUCCUGUCGUCCUUGCUAUCUAGCUUGUUGUUAAAACUAUCCAAUAAUUAUUAAUAAAUAAAAUAUCUACAUGUUUAGAUUGUUACAACUUUUGCAUGGCUUCUUGAUAUUCAUGAUCUAGUUAUUGACAUUGUUGUCAGGGGGAUCAUUCAUAGGGUACGCGAUUACAUAAACCCGUGAAUCAGCUGAAAUGUGAUACAAUAGAAUGAAAAUGACUAAUAGACAAUCAUGCAUAUUGUUUGAAUCAAGAGGGAUGUGUGGUGUGUUUUCUUGUAUGAGCAAGUAUGGCAUGCUCUUGUUUGUCGUCAUAACUCAUAAGAAGAGUAUGCACUUAAGUUGAUCCAUUUUCGUCAAUACAUCCAACGCGAUAUCAGGCAUAAACUCAGAACUUUUUUCAUCAAAGAUAUCAAAGAUGUCAAUACAUCCAACGCGAUACCAAAUGGUUUCACAGCACAUAUAGGCAGGGGAGAAAGAUCGAGCGAGUUCAAUCUGAUAGUAUAUUUGUGAAUAGUGAUCAUACACCUAGCCAAUAGACCAGGGAUAUGAGAAGUCUGCAAUAGUGAAAUAUAAUGAUGAGAAAUAUCAUAACACCUAGCCUUAUCGACACAUUUAAGCUAAGCUAGCUUGUUUUUACAGAUGAAUAUUGCAAGUAUUUUAUGUUCUGAUGGUCGCUCGUUUUUUUUUUGUCUGUAAAUUUAUUCGACAGCAAGGUCUAAUCAACAUUAAAAAUUUAAUCGCACCUCAUUUGAUACAACUACUGCUUGGUCGUACCGAUGAUUUAAUCUUAAAUGUUUAACCUAGUUUAAAAAUAGUUCGAUGAAAAGGAUCUACUUUAUACAGACAUUUACUUGAAGUAUAUAAUUUACAGAUUGCACCCGGAGAGUCUUAAACUUUUUAAAUGCUGGCAAAAAAAUUAUCAGGUUGGAGUCAGAAUGAGAGAAUCCUACUGUCAGCAAUUUGAUAAUAUAUAUACCAGAGCAGUCAAUUUUCGAUUUUCAAUUAGACGCAAUCAGUAUGAUACCAGAACCAAGCUGUUUGAAUUAUUGUCGCUAAUUUAAGAACAUGGCAAAGUCAUCCAACAUGGUACAUGAGACGAAUGGCGUCUACCAUUUAUCUAACUUACGGAUUCUAUCCCCUGCAUCGUCAUUUCAUUUCCACCAUGUCAGCUUCCAUUAUGCUUCAUGCUUCAUGCAUAACCUGUUUUUCCAACUAACCCCUGUAAUAAACUGUUCCAUACUUGUUUGACCUGAAAUGGACAAUCAAAGAGUAUGACUAGCUCAAAUAUGUUUUUCUUUUUUUCCAACACUCACUCUCUUUUUGCAUUUACGCAACUUUUAAAUACUUCAACACCCACCUUCCAAAGAUACACACACACAAAUAUAUAUAUCUUCUCUGCUUCUCCCUUUCUCCCCACAAAAACAGAUGGGUUUCUUUACUGUUUUGAUGAUCCUUUUAGCAUUCCUCAGACUAGUCUCGUCAAUACCACCCACAGCUUCUGUCGAUACACCUAAGCUACCAGUACUACAGUCCUUGACUCCUGUCGAAACACCUGAUCUACCACCAUUUACAUCUCCUUCCAAACAACCAUCUACAUCUCCUGUCAACAACCCUGUCAAAAUACCUGAACUACCAGUGGCAAUAUCCGAUAUGCGAUCAAAAUCUUAUUUCGGAUUUGUAAUUCUUCUCAACCUGCUAAAUGCCACUACUAAAUCAGCACUUGGUCAACAAGUCACUUUCUUCAUGCCUAAUGACCAACAGUUAGCCACAUCAACGAUCUCUCCAGGUGGACUUGAUGACUUUGUACUCACUCAUACAGUCCCAGAACCUCUAAUCUUCAGUUCAUUGGCGCGUGCACCCAAUGGAACCCUUAUUCAGUCCUUCACAACAAACCAGUUCUUAAGAAUUUCUAACAUCGGGAGACGUGUCUUCAUUAAUAAUGCGCAUAUUGUGACAAGAAAUGUGUGUUCAAGUGAUACGAUAAAGUGCCAUGGAAUCAGCGCAGUCAUUAACACUUCGUUGAAUCAGACAGUUAGCUAGUGAAUGUUGUCAGUCUUGUUAAAAUCUAUUAACUGAUUAUCAAUAAAAAUUUAAGAUGACUACUUGUACAAUUUUUUUCUGAUGGAAUUUUUUGCAAUCUAUAAAAUAUCGCAAUUAUUACAAAAUACACAGUUCUUGAAAUCACGGCACAGUAUAUGCAAAAGAAAAGAUCAAGUCUGACAUUUUUAUGUUUAACGGUUCCAGAAUACAUCAAGCUCGAAUGCAGCUCAAAUGAUCAAUAUAAAAAGUAAACUUACGAUUUCAACAUUGUAAUCGAGUUUGCAACAAAAUAUUUCAUUAUCAGGGUCAGAUAGAGUUGUGAGAAAUCGGAACUCAUAUUACUAUUGUACGUGCAACAUUGCAGUAUCACAUUAUGAUAGCAAGAAGUAGAGUUCAACCCUACUGAUUUGUAGUUAAAUUGCUGUUUUCAUAUAGCUUAAUAAUCAAACAAGACAUAAAUGUACCUGAUGAGAUGAUGUAAAGGCCUACAAUCAACUUGUUCAUGCAUCAGAAUAGUUGAACCCUUCCUAAUCUUCUGCCGCUGAUUCUUCAAGAUGCUAACAUUUAUAUAACCAAGUACACAGCAUAUAUGGACCUCAGACUUGAAAAGAGAUCGACUUCUCUGUAGGCUAUAGCUUAGGCUAAAAGGCGGGUAACGUUCUGACACAGAUUGAUACGAAAUAUCUAUAUAAUUAUACUGAAUGUUACAUUUUAUUCAGAAUUGUUGAACUACUUGUAUGGAAAGAAUAGCUACACAUGUAACUGAAUCUGACUGCAAUGCAGCAACACAAGGCUCUUUAGCAUGAUUUAAAGUACGUAAAGCAAACUUUUCAGCCUCAGAAUAUGGAGCUAAUAUAAACUAGACGAGCAACUUUUGUAUGAAGACUUCCCCUCACGAUGAAUGGUAGAGACCUAUAGAUUUGGGUGGUGUACAUACUAUAACCCUGGCUUCUGCCCCCCGAUCGCCCCCCUCUUCUUUAGAACUAGCAUUGUUUUUAGUUUGUCAUCUGCAUAAUUUGCUCAUUAAGAAAAAAACCUAUAACGAGAUCAUAGUCUUUUUUUUUUUUUGUAAAGCUUCCCAUAGAAUUCGUCAGUUUUUUCGUCAGCCUAAGACUCAUAUUUAGUUUUUAUCAUGUUACAGCUUAAUUUUCUAUCCAAGGAUCUUCGUCAGUCUUUUGGCUGUAUAAUGCUGCCAUCAAGGAACUCUUAGUGGUUAAUACUAUACUAUUACUAUGUGAUCGGUUCGAUUUAUAGAUCACAAACAUUCAGAAAACCAGUAUGUAAGGUUUUAUAAUUUGGCGAAAAUCUAUUUCUUCUCGGAAGUGUCAUUUAGUCAUCGGUUUUCAAUUGACAAGCAAAAGCACUUUAAUAAAUUCACCUUAUUUGUUUACAAAACACAAAAACAAAGAUAACAUAGAGCACCUUCUUUUACAUACAAGAGGCAUAGGUUAUGAACUUAUGAUCCCCUGUAUUUUAUUGCUUCAACAAAAGAUUGCACCCUAUAUCAUGCAUAACCUACCUUCCCAACUAACCUCUAAAACAACUGCAUAUUUAGUAUUAACUUUCAUACCUUGGCUUUCUUACUGUAGACAAAUAAAGAGUAUGAUCAUCUAACUCAAAUCUGCAUCUUUCUCUCUUUAGUCACCCUUUUCGCGUUUUCACAAUAUAUAUACUCCUACAACCACCCUCCAAAUCAGUCUCUCCUACACAACAAAUACACACUUGAUCUCUCUCUACCUCUCUCUCUUUCUCACCUACUCUCGAACUAUGGGUCUUUCGAUUAUUUUCAUCCUUUUUUCACUCCUGAGAAUGGUUUCUUCAGCACCACCGGCAGCUCAUCCAGUUACUACUCCCGGAAAAUUAACUGAUCUAUCGCAGGCAAUAACUGAUAUGCGAUCAAAGUCUUAUUAUGGAUUUGUAAUCCUUCUCGAUAUGCUGAAUACAACUGCUAAAUCUACUCUAAGUCAAGAAGUUACUUUCUUCAUGCCUAUUGAUAGUCAGUUAGCUGAGUAUCCAAUCUCCCCUGAUAGACUUGUAGACUUCAUACUUAGUCAUUCGAUCCCAGAACCGCUUGUAUUCAGUGAACUGGCUCAUGUACCAACUGGUACUCUUAUACCAUCUUUCCUCAAUGACCAGUUCAGGAUCUCUAGACUUGGGAGACAUGUCUUUGUUAAUAAUGCGCAAAUUGUUGCACCAAAUGUGUGUUCAAGUACUACAAUAAGAUGCCAUGGAAUCAACGCAGUUAUUGAUAAACGGAAGAAUCAUUUCGAUUCAGCUUCUAGUACUCUUUCACAAGGAAAUAAUACCAAGUCCUAGAUCAAUUCUACUGAUUGCUGGUGCAGCUCAUAAAUGUGUGAUGUAUUGUCGACAGUGUCCCGUUAAAUUUACUAUUGUUACAAAUUUAGAUAAUUACCUGUUCUAUUUUUUUUUUCCCAAUAGCUUCAUGAUAUAUAUUGACAGUAUUCUGAAAAUGAAAUAGCACUUGUCUGUAGUGGUCAUGUUCUGUCAUUCUCUGUUUACACUUAAUACAUCUUUCCAUUCAUCAUUCGACAAAGAACUUCAAUUCCCUUGCUUUCUAUCUGAACUAGUAAUCCAUAUCAAUCUGCAAGAUGGAACUAUGACUACGAUAUUUUCCGUGAGAGAUGAUGAAAAUAUGUUGAUAGCAAGCAUAUAAGUACACCUAAGUGUGUUCAUCAACUUAGCAUGACAGGGAUGUGAAUUCACUAACUUAGCAUGAAGAAGUAAUCUGUGGAAAAUGCCGAAGACAAUAUAUGAACUAAUUUCAAGAGAUCGUUCUGCGCAAGGAGUUGUCAUUGUUGAAGACAUUGUAAGCUUCUGGUUAUAAAAGUUCCUAAGAAGUCCCACUCAGUAGUCCAGAUCCCCUGCCUUCUUAAGGAUCAAGAAAUAGGCAAAGGGAGAAAAGCAGAGUUCUAUCUGCUAUUGUCAACGGCAAAUUUUUUAUCGUACGACAUUUCAGUUAGUUGUCGUCAGUAAUAUAAUCAUGUAUAAUUUUACACCAAUUUAUAGAAUUAGAUGAUAACACCAGCUACAAGCUUGCAUGACUUACAGUCUUACACCAAGAUGACUGGAAGUGAAUAUACAUAAGUAGAAAAAUGAGCAAAAACUCCGUAGGGAGAUUCCACUCUUGGAUUUAUGAUUGUUUACAAUGAAAAAUAGCUAUCCCAAAGCGACGUAAAACCAUAAGCAAAAUUAAAGAAAAGAAUCAUAUAACAUAUAAGGCUUGUUUACAGAUGAAGAGAAGUGUCAACUUCAUUAUUAUCACGAAUAUACGAUGUUCUGAAGGUAGCUCUAUUCGUCGUAUGCCAUAAAUUCAACGAUAGCCGUGACUCAACAUCCCCAUAAUCAGUUCGUUUGUUCUGAAACUCCUGUCGAAAGGAAUUAGGAGAACCUUGUGAAGAUGACGAUGAAGGAGAUAAACUCAGUUCCGGAUUACAGUAUCUCCUGCUAGAUGUCUUAUAAUGCAUGGUUGAAGAACUAAUCCUACUUUCUUGCUCUGGAAACAGUCUUAAUAGUUCUCUUUGUUCUCUCAUCUCUUUCAUUUUCUCCAACUGUUUGAACCUUUCUUGUAAUAAAGCAAUAGAUGAAUGUGUAACAACAAGCUCACUAUCUUGCCUACCCAUUAAGUAAAACUUAUACAAAGAAUAGUUGCCUUUGAAAGCCUUGUAAAAGGGGUAUUUAUAAUGAAAGUAUAAUGAUGGUUUUGCUUCAAAAUUUAUACACAAAUUAACCUACAUAUACCUUCCAUUGAUUCUAAUAGGGAUAUAGGAAUCGGCAGAUAAUAAGCAAAAUCCAACAAGUAAAGGUUCUGUGACUAGCCUUAGGAUGCUUGGCAUGGUAGGGUUGAAGGCAAAAGGACUACUAUGAAAGAAAAAUGUAAGAAGAAAAUCCAAACAAGUAUGGAAUUUAGCUAAUGGAAAGAUGUGUUUACAAGAAUAUAAGAAGGUUGAUUGAUGGUUUGUCUUCUUGUUUAAAUGAUUUCAUAUAGCUUUGGUUGAGAUGAUGGUGAAGCCAUUUUUUCUCUAAGUUGUAUAUGAUUUCCUUAUUUGAACUUCACAGAUAAGUUAUGAAGAUAAAACAAAGUAAGAAAGAAUAACUUUUGGAAUUCCAUGUUGUGAUUAGAUUUACACAUAAAAUGUGUGAUAAUAAUUCCAGGUAGAAGAUAAAGAAAGAUACCUAACCAAAGCCUCCAUUUUACAUGUCUUUUUGAGUUGUUUUCAUACUUUAACUUGCAUGCUAAAAAGCAUCUUUAAUAACAACAGCAAAAGCUACUAUUGUUUCAUUUUCCUUGUAUUUUUUUCCCUUUUGUCCAUUUUACGCCGCGAUAGCACUACCACCCCUUCUGCUUGAGGACUCUGAGGACUCCAUAGCACUUUGCUACUCAAUCUUCGUCACUCUUACACCCUAACUCACUUCUGCACUGGGAAGGAUUCACUAUAAGGCAUACACACACUACUUUUUGUCUACAUAAGAUCCUACAUAGUGUCGCCAUGACAUUGGUAGUAUUUGCUUACAUCCCUAUCAGUUAGAAGGUCUCUGCAAUGUGUUCAAUACAUUGUAAUAUGUAUUGUUAGAAGGUCUACAUCUACAACUGGUCAUGAGGUUCAAUGAAUUAAGCUAAUCUUCAUGCAGUUGAAUUAUUUAUUUCUUAAAAAUGAUUGAAGUAAAGAAUACUAUUCUUGCAUCAUCAGCUGCUAAUAAUAGAUCAUGACAAAACAACAAUAAAGACAGAUGAUUUAGGUCUCUAUUUAGUAUUAGUGAUAAUGCAUCCACAUGCAGAUAAAUUCUCCUUCUAACCCUGCCGACAUCUAUUUAGAUCAUUUUCUAAAAAUUCAGUCUGUCGAUUGACAUAACAACAUAAGAACUGAUUUGUUGUAACUAUUCCACCUGGAAUGUACGUGUUCGCAACACUGAAGUAUGCUUUUUGCUGCUUGUCUUCUCAUUUAUUAGUUAUGUUUUCCGUUGGUGCCAAGAAGCAGAGCAAUAUGUUCUUUAUAAAGAACAUGUGCCAGCCAUCUAUGAUUUGUGGUGUGACAUAAGUGCACUCGAUCUACUUCUUCCCUAAAGGGAUAUAUUACAAAAAAUACUACCGAAAACACUAAUAAAUCACAAAUAUUAGAUAUUUAUAAUACAAAUAAAGCUGGCACAACGCCCUGAGUUUGAUUUAUAUCUAUGAAACCAUCGUAAUUUCCUGUAACUAUUAAAAUUUGUUUUUAUCCAAGCAAACAUAUCAAGAACUCCAAAAACAACAAAAAUGAAUGGACAGAAAAGCUCGCACUGCGGCAAGAAGGAGACUUCUUCCCAGAGAAAAUCUAACAGCGCUGCUGCGGCAGAUUUUCAAAAGCUAAACAUUUAUGUUUUUUUCCAUUA
RNAcentral lists this long non-coding RNA (34654 nucleotides) under Aquilegia coerulea. Its description in RNAcentral is "long non-coding RNA (ACOE_LNC002285)". The stretch from base 26221 to 26293 matches the Rfam family "tRNA". Lineage: Eukaryota; Viridiplantae; Streptophyta; Magnoliopsida; Ranunculales; Ranunculaceae. The record is from RNAcentral.